CUUUGGAUGAUGACCAUCCAGUAAGCAAAGUGGUGCCAUUUGCGAGGUAAGGCUGGAAUGAGAGCCCAAAUUCUUUGUUCAUGUGGGUUGGUGACGCGUCCAAUGAGAGUCUUCGCGUUUUCUUUGAUAAGAGCAGAGUUAUCAACACUAGGGGCUUUGAUUCUUUUUAUGUUUGUUGCUCAGAUCAGCUCGGUGAGUAACAGGAUUUGAGAUGUGGUAUCUUCAACUCUCUCGUG
Long non-coding RNA from Brassica oleracea var. oleracea, 236 nucleotides. RefSeq lists it as uncharacterized. The transcript has 3 exons. Lineage: Eukaryota; Viridiplantae; Streptophyta; Magnoliopsida; Brassicales; Brassicaceae. The record is from RefSeq and is a predicted model, not a curated record.